GAGGGUAUAGCUCAGUGGCAGAGUGCUUGCCUAGCACGCACAAGAUCCUGGGUUCGAUCCCUAGUACCUCCA
RNAcentral lists this transfer RNA (72 nucleotides) under Camelus bactrianus (Bactrian camel). It matches the Rfam family "tRNA". From Rfam's summary of the family: Transfer RNA (tRNA) molecules are approximately 80 nucleotides in length. Their secondary structure includes four short double-helical elements and three loops (D, anti-codon, and T loops). RNAcentral also lists the same sequence under 2 other names. Lineage: Eukaryota; Metazoa; Chordata; Mammalia; Artiodactyla; Camelidae. The record is from Rfam by way of RNAcentral.